GUGAGUCAUCGAAUCUUUGAACGCACAUUGCGCCCCUUGGUAUUCCGGGGGGCAUGCCCGUUCGAGCGUCAUUACACCACUCAAGCCUCGCUUGUAUUUGGACGUCGUGCUAUGGCGCGUGUCUUAAUGUGUCCGGCCGAGCCGCCCGUCUCUAAGCGUUGUGCAAUCAAUUCGCUUGCGAUUCGGACGGGUCUGCGCCGUUAAACCCUCUUUCAAAGGUUGACCUCGGAUCGGGUAGGGAUACCCGCUGAACUUAAGCAUAUCAAUAAGCGGAGGA
Molecule: unclassified non-coding RNA, 277 nt
Filed under: Devriesia sp.
Lineage: Eukaryota; Fungi; Ascomycota; Dothideomycetes; Mycosphaerellales; Teratosphaeriaceae
Description: partial contains 5.8S ribosomal RNA, internal transcribed spacer 2, and large subunit ribosomal RNA
Rfam family: 5.8S ribosomal RNA (bases 1-71)
Source: RNAcentral